ACCGGUGACGUUUUUCUCUUGAUCCCUACAGCCAAAUUUAUAUGCUUGAUACUUCCAAGAAUACAUCGAAUCAGAUGUUCUGCAUCCAGAAAAUCAUUUCAUUGGUUAAAGGUUUUGCGAUAUAGCUGUAAUAUGUUUCUUCACCUAAAAGUUCAAUAGUGGUUCAAUUUAAAUUCACAGUCUAUAUCCAUUUCCUUGGUUUUUUUUAUUAAUCAAAUUAACUCCUGUGAUCUUGCUUAAAUUGCAACACCUAUGCUUUUGUGGACUGCCUGAUGUUUGGAUAAAAUUCAUUAUCUAUUCAGUUGGGAUAGUAUAUAUUGUCAUUCUGGAAUAAAGUGGAUAUAGUAUUGAAUGCUGCACUCAUGUUGGACUUGGGCAAUUCCAUAAUGCAAAAUUUAUCUUGUGGCAUUCAUUUAGAGCUCAUGUAUCAUUUUAGUUUAAGAAAUACCUGUAAGUUCCAUUCUUUCCCAACUUAAACAUCAACUUAUUCUGAGGACUUAAAUCUUAGUUAUAGAUGUUUCAUUCAGCUCCUUCUGACUCUUGGAAUUCAUUAGCACAUUAGUGGUCUACAGUAACCACGGUUGUACAACAUGUCGGCCACAACUGUUUGGUUCCAUGCAGGCUUUAGUAACACCUGGUGAGCCACAGAAUGCAAAGGAGUCAAAAAUAUAAGGGCCACUUCCACUACCACAGCCUACUCUUGGGUCCUCCAUCACAAUAUUGUGUCCAUGGUCAGCAUAUGAGCUGAUGGCUUCAGGAUAUUGCCCUUAAGUUCUUGUAACUUGUUCUGAAUAAUCAUAUUAUGGUUGUCGCUUUGAUGGUGUACAUUUGCAGCACAGCCAAUAUCAUCACUGUCAUCAGGAACCAGUAUCAACAUCAACAGUAGGCACCCUGUUAGUAGCAAACCUUAUAUACAGCACACUUGGCACCUCAGACAAAGAAGAUCCUGUCAGCCAAUAGAAAGUAAAGUAUCAUAAGCGAAUUGUUAUUUAGUAUCAUGAACAUAUUUUUGUGUAAGAUAAUGCAUAGGCUGUUUGAUUAGAUUGGAAACUUCCUGAUUAAAUUGUUUCUGCAUCAUGGCAAAACUAGUUUAGGGUAAAGUGCAAACAAAGUAUAGUAUUCGAGCAUGUUAAUAGCUUUCUGCAUGUUUCACAG
Molecule: long non-coding RNA, 1155 nt
Filed under: Musa acuminata (dwarf banana)
Lineage: Eukaryota; Viridiplantae; Streptophyta; Magnoliopsida; Zingiberales; Musaceae
Description: long non-coding RNA (MACU_LNC002898)
Source: RNAcentral